Mus caroli (Ryukyu mouse) is the source of this 869-nucleotide non-coding RNA. Lineage: Eukaryota; Metazoa; Chordata; Mammalia; Rodentia; Muridae. The record is from RefSeq and is a predicted model, not a curated record.
AGGCGGGCAGGCUGAGAUCUUGCAUGGAAAUCAUGAACCCGGUCUUGCUUUUCGUUUUUGAAACGUUUUGGAAGGAGAGUUAUGAAUAGCCCAGAAAUAGGUCUCAUUUUGUGGGUAGGAAGAAUGAGCAGACGCAUGAAAGCUAAAUCUCCUGGCAAGUGCAGGGGACCACUCUUGGAGUGUGCAGUAAACCCGAGGGGAGGACUUCGCCUGCUGUGAACUCCUGAACCAUCACAUCUGGAGUGAAGGGGCUGGUGAAGCCUUGUAAUAAAUGCAAAGGAUGCUGCUGAGAGCUUUGGUCUGCCUUUAACUCAUUGUGGCAAAGUUGGACAUCCCAAAGAUGGCGUAGAUGAACAUGACGAGGAAAAGCAGGAGGCCAAUGUUGAACAGCGCAGGAAGGGACAUCAUCAGAGCAAAGAGCAGCGUGCGGAUCCCCUUGGCACCUUUGAUCAGGCGUAGGAUUCGUCCAAUCCUGGCCAGGCGGAUGACUCGGAACAGGGACCUUGUGCUCCCUAGAUCAUCUCAAAAGAAAGAACACUUGCAGAAAAGAAACCAACAUCCAUUUUGGAACAGAACAGAAUGUUAGUGACUACACCAGAAAACUUUAUCAACAUGACUGCCUAAAUUUGUGAGCUGAACAAAGAAAACAGCAAUAGAUGUUCUAAUGUGGACUAUGUUGGAGGAGAGCUAGAAGCUCAGUGACCCUCAACCCUACACAAAGAACUACAGACUACUAAGAAGGUCAGAAGAGGGCAUCUGUAGCAGGAGUUACAGAGUGCUGUGAGUCACUUAGAGAGUCUGGGUAUCGAACUUGGUCCUCUGGAAGGAAAUUCAGUGCCAUAACCAUUGAACCAUCUCUCCAGUGUCAA